GUCCACGCCGUAAACGAUGAAUGCUAGCCGUUGGUGGGUUUACCCUUCAGUGGCGCAGCUAACGCUUUAAGCAUUCCGCCUGGGGAGUACGGUCGCAAGAUUAAAACUCAAAGGAAUUGACGGGGCCCGCACAAGCGGUGGAGCAUGUGGUUUAAUUCGAUGCAACGCGAAAACCUUACCUACCCUUGACAUGGAUAGAAUCCUCAAGAGAUUGAGGAGUGCUCGAAAGAGAACUAUUACACAGGUGCUGCAUGGCUGUCGU
This 262-nucleotide ribosomal RNA is filed under the name uncultured bacterium. RNAcentral's name for it is "partial 16S ribosomal RNA". It matches the Rfam family "Bacterial small subunit ribosomal RNA", at positions 793 to 1055 of the family's 1533-position model. The record is from RNAcentral.